This 474-nucleotide ribosomal RNA is filed under the name uncultured bacterium. Its description in RNAcentral is "bacterial SSU rRNA". It matches the Rfam family "Bacterial small subunit ribosomal RNA", at positions 30 to 524 of the family's 1533-position model. The record is from RNAcentral.
AUUGAACGCUGGCGGCAUGCCUUACACAUGCAAGUCGAACGGCAGCGGACCUUCGGGUGCCGGCGAGUGGCGAACGGGUGAGUAAUAUAUCGGAACGUACCUUUCAGUGGGGGAUAACGUAGCGAAAGUUACGCUAAUACCGCAUAUUCUGUGAGCAGGAAAGCAGGGGAUCGCAAGACCUUGCGCUGAUUGAGCGGCCGAUAUCAGAUUAGCUAGUUGGUGAGGUAAAGGCUCACCAAGGCGACGAUCUGUAGCGGGUCUGAGAGGAUGAUCCGCCACACUGGAACUGAGACACGGUCCAGACUCCUACGGGAGGCAGCAGUAGGGAAUCUUGCGCAAUGGGCGAAAGCCUGACGCAGCAACGCCGCGUGCGGGACGAAGGCCCUCGGGUUGUAAACCGCUUUCAGUAGGAACGAAACUGACGGUACCUGCAGAAGAAGGUGCGGCCAACUACGUGCCAGCAGCCGCGGUAAA